RNAcentral lists this ribosomal RNA (494 nucleotides) under uncultured bacterium. RNAcentral describes it as "partial 16S ribosomal RNA". It matches the Rfam family "Bacterial small subunit ribosomal RNA", at positions 28 to 507 of the family's 1533-position model. The record is from RNAcentral.
GACGGACGCUGGCGGCGUGCUUAACACAUGCAAGUCGAACGGUGAAGCGCCUUCCUUUUUGGUGGGUGUGGAUGAGUGGCGAACGGGUGAGUAACACGUGAGUAACCUGCCCCCUUCUUCUGGAUAACCGCAUGAAAGUGUGGCUAAUACGGGAUAUUCUGGGUCUGUCGCAUGAUGGGUCUGGGAAAGAUAUUGUUUCGGUGGGGGAUGGGCUCGCGGCCUAUCAGCUUGUUGGUGGGGUGAUGGCCUACCAAGGCGGUGACGGGUAGCCGGCCUGAGAGGGUGGACGGUCACACUGGGACUGAGACACGGCCCAGACUCCUACGGGAGGCAGCAGUGGGGAAUAUUGCACAAUGGGCGGAAGCCUGAUGCAGCGACGCCGCGUGAGGGAUGGAGGCCUUCGGGUUGUGAACCUCUUUCGCCAGUGAAGCAGGCCUGCCUCGUUUGUGGGUGGGUUGACGGUAGCUGGAUAAGAAGCGCCGGCUAACUACGUG